UGGGGGAAUUUUGGACAAUGGGGGCAACCUGAUCCAGCCAUCCCGCGUGUGCGAUGAAGGCCUUCGGGUUGUAAAGCACUUUUUGGCAGGGAAGAAACAGCCUGGGAUAAUACCCCGGGCGACUGACGGUACCUGCAGAAUAAGCACCGGCUAACUACGUGCCAGCAGCCGCGGUAAUACGUAGGGUGCAAGCGUUAAUCGGAAUUACUGGGCGUAAAGCGUGCGCAGGCGGUUCGGGAAAGAAAGGUGUGAAUCCAGGGCUUAACCUUGGAACUGCANUUUAACUACCGAGGCUAGAGUAUGUCGAGGGGGGCUAGAAUUCCACGUGUAGCAGUGAAAUGCGUAGAGAUGUGGAGGAAUACCGAUGGCGAAGGCAGCCCCCU
RNAcentral lists this ribosomal RNA (383 nucleotides) under uncultured bacterium. RNAcentral's name for it is "partial 16S ribosomal RNA". It matches the Rfam family "Bacterial small subunit ribosomal RNA", at positions 354 to 730 of the family's 1533-position model. The record is from RNAcentral.